This 484-nucleotide ribosomal RNA is filed under the name uncultured bacterium. RNAcentral's name for it is "partial 16S ribosomal RNA". It matches the Rfam family "Bacterial small subunit ribosomal RNA", at positions 30 to 507 of the family's 1533-position model. The record is from RNAcentral.
AUUGAACGCUGGCGGCAGGCCUAACACAUGCAAGUCGAGCGGAUGAAGGGAGCUUGCUCCUGGAUUCAGCGGCGGACGGGUGUGUAAUGCCUAGGAAUCUGCCUGGUAGUGGGGGAUAACGUCCGGAAACGGGCGCUAAUACCGCAUACGUCCUGAGGGAGAAAGUGGGGGAUCUUCGGACCUCACGCUAUCAGAUGAGCCUAGGUCGGAUUAGCUAGUUGGUGGGGUAAAGGCCUACCAAGGCGACGAUCCGUAACUGGUCUGAGAGGAUGGUCAGUCACACUGGAACUGAGACACGGUCCAGACUCCUACGGGAGGCAGCAGUGGGGAAUAUUGGACAAUGGGCGAAAGCCUGAUCCAGCCAUGCCGCGUGUGUGAAGAAGGUCUUCGGAUUGUAAAGCACUUUAAGUUGGGAGGAAGGGCAGUAAGUUAAUACCUUGCUGUUUUGACGUUACCAACAGAAUAAGCACCGGCUAACUUCGUG